Molecule: long non-coding RNA, 1471 nt
Organism: Hemicordylus capensis (graceful crag lizard)
Lineage: Eukaryota; Metazoa; Chordata; Lepidosauria; Squamata; Cordylidae
Exons: 3
Source: RefSeq, a predicted model, not a curated record
UCCAAGUAAACAUGCAUCGGAUAGGAUCUAUGCCUUGUUCUUGUACAGCUCCGUGGUUUUGCAGGUGCUUACAAAAUACUGUAUUUAUUUAUUGUUUUAUUUAUAGUUAAAUUCAUACCCCACCUUUCAUUAAGAAAAUCUCAAGGCUGCUCAAGGCUUACAUCUCAAGGCUGGAUAAUAUAUUUUAAACACUUCUGAAUACUUCCGCUUAACCAGCUUGUGUGUCUCAAGUUGCUUUGUAAAUUUAGAUAUAAACUCUUUGGGCCUGGCUGGUUUGUAGAGCAGAAUCCCUCUCCAGUAAUUGUAUAAUGCAUGGUAUCAAAUGCAUCUCUUUGCAGCUAGUUGCUUGGGCUUAGAAGGGAUUUUCUGGUGCUUCCACGGCAAAAGUAAUAGAGAUGCAUUCUGUGAUUUGUGCUGAGAUAGGAGAAAUCCCACCAUUCAAUGUCACAGCAACCACACAAAUUGGUACAAUGAAAGCCUCAGGGGCUUGAUCUGUCCAGGACUAUUUAUGUUAGGGGUGGGGGAGUGUAAGUAUUUAAGGUUAUUAAACCAAUUUCCAUGGCUGUCGCAAAUGUUAUGCUAAUUCGAAAAGGACUCAUCGUGCCUCCAAAACCUACUUGUCUCCAGCAUUUAAUUUUAAUUAAUACACUUUUUUUCCCCCUAGGAGCCCUUUUUUCUUGUGUGUUUGCAAGAAGGAAUGUGUGAUUAACCCUCCUUCAGAAAGACAUAUGGUUUCAAAUUGGUUUCUUCUCAUUUCCAUUUUAAUUUCUUCAUUUUAUUUUUCAGAAGGGUAGCUUAUCAGUGUUUCCCCCCUCCUUCCUAAAGCCACACUAAAACAAAACACAAAAAAAACUGGUGGUGGGAGUGGAUCUGAUACUUCUGUGCAAAAUAAAUGAUAAUCAUCAUUUUCAAUAUAGCAGACUGAUGGGAUGCCAGAAAGGGCUUUAAAAAAAACAACAGAGGUUUAAUUUAGAAAUGAAUCAUGAUGUUCAGAUAAACAUUUAUUAAUUCAGCCUCAGAGCCCUAGAAAUGGAGUUAACUGGGAUUAUUUAAAUGCAGAACAGUUUAAUUGUUCUUCUUCCACAAUCAACGAAAAAGCUGCAGCAUAAAAAUGUGUUAAGUACUAUUUUAAAAAGAAACAAGCUCCUUUUUCCCCCCAAAUUGGAGACUUUCACUAAUAACAAUGGGAUUUAUAAUUGCUCUCUUUUUAGAUAAUAAUGGCUGAAAAGCUUGACUUCUCCUAGAGUUACCAGCUUAUGAAAGAGUCUCAUAGUCUUAUAAGAAGUAAGAGAUGCUGCCUGGACAGAGUCACCUGUUCCAAACUAAAGAGCCCCAGAUGCUGUAGCCUGGACUCAUAGGGAAGGUGCUCCAGGCCCCUGAUCUUCUUCGUUGCAUGGAACCUUUUUCCAAAGACUUCCUUUCUUCAUCCCAGAAUUCCCAGCAACAGCUCUCUAGGUCCCACCCACCUGGU